Long non-coding RNA from Brassica napus (rape), 2758 nucleotides. RefSeq lists it as uncharacterized. Lineage: Eukaryota; Viridiplantae; Streptophyta; Magnoliopsida; Brassicales; Brassicaceae. The transcript has 2 exons. The record is from RefSeq and is a predicted model, not a curated record.
ACUAUUUUUAAUAAAACGUAAUAUUAUUAUUCAUUAUAUUAAUUUAAUAUUAUUUUAUUAGAAUAAUAUGAUUUUAAUAUUUUUAUUGUUAAUUUAUUAUUAAAUUGAUAUUGUAUAUAUUAUUAGUCAACGAGUCAUAUAGUAUUCUGUAAACACAUAUAUUGUUAAUUGAUGUGUCAUUUGUAUAUAUUACUUAAUAACACUUGAAACCACUCGUAUCCGUAAACUCAUGUAUCCGCACACGCAACUACAACUUGUAAAUAAGUCAGAUCUUCAAUCUAAAGAUAUUUUAUGAUUAUAACUAUAAAACUAGAUCCUCGCCUACACUUUGAAAGAGCAUAAAUAUUUUUACAAAAAUUAAUUUACAAAAAUAUAUUUUUUGUUUUAAAUAUCUGUUUUUAUUUAUAUGUUGACUAGUUUGGUUUGUUUUAUUUUUCAUAAACACACUUAAUUUUGUUUGGAGUAAAUUUUAGGAUUUUAAAAAUAUAAUAGGUUUAUUUUAUUGAAUUUUGAUAACUUAGAAUUAUAUUUAAUUGUUAAAAUUUUAAAAAAUUAUCCUUGAAAUGGUACUUAUUUAUCUGUCUCUUAAUAUAAUUAUUAUUUGAAAUAAUAUACUUAUUACUUAAAGUGCCAUACAUCAGUUUAUUAUAGUUGAAAAUGUUUAAAUUUCCAAAUUUAAUCUAUAUAUAAUAGCAAACCUAAUUUUGUUCACAUCAACAUUUUUUUAUAGGAAAAAAAAAGUUUGAUCUAACGUUUGAGUUUAUCCUUACUUUAAAUCUAACGGACAUGAUUUAUUUUAAUCACAAAAUCUUACGUCAUCUAAUUGUUUCAACAGAUCGACGCACCUCUUCUCUGAUCGACACACCUCUUCUCUGAUGGACGCACCUUUUUACAGUGGCCUCUUUUGAUAAUGAAACGACACACCUUUUAAACUGGUUAGUAGAUUGAAGGAUUAGUAGAUUGAAGAACUGGUUUGAGCCAGCCCUUUUUUCAAAAAAAAAAAAAAGAACUGGUUUGAGCCGUUGUUUUUUUCUGAGAACACUUCUCAAUCCAAGUCCCAAGGAAAAGUUUUGGUUCAUCAUCAUGAUGUGCUCUAACCUGCCAAUUCAACGGCUACAAUUGAUUUCUAAUAGAUCUCGCCGCGAAUCUAAACCACCACCGCCGUCUCCAUUGAUGACGAGAAACCGACGUUAUAAAGUUGAUCAGAGAGAAGAGUAAGAAGUAGAAGAAGAAAGUUGUGGCGGUGACAACGCUGCCAUGGAUGGAAUUGAAAAGCUAAAAGUUCAGAAAAUAAGAUACAGAGGAUAGAUCAUGUCAUCUGAUGUUGAGGCUCAACUACGACGCCAACUCGGAAGUUUCGUCUGUUAAAGCUUCGCUGUUUCUUGGGUCGGAAGCUACCGGAGCAGACGUCAGUGUAUGUCUUUCUCUAACCAUAUUCCUCUCUCGCCGUAGAAAAUCUGUUUGCUUUUCUAAAUUAGUUUUAUAUUAAUUUCCCGUACUAGGUGUAGAGAUAUGUUUGACCAAAGUUUCCGAACGUAGAGAUGUGAUGUUUUUAGAUGUCAGUGAAUAGAUUGCAUAGAUGGUAGAUGUAUGCACAGGAUAAGGCGGUUAACUGGUUCAAACUAAUUAUCCAUUCCUUAUUUCACAUAUAUGUUCUUUUUAAUCUCUUGCAUGUUCUCAACUUCGGUUACAUGUUAUUUGUCUGAUUAGGCUGGUUCCAUAUCGAUGGCAAGAGAAUCUAGAUAUCUAUUGAAUAUUAUACGCUGUAGUCCGAGUAGGCUUUUUCUUGUGAAUGUGAUUGUAUUACGGAUCCAGCAUCACCCCUGGGACAGUACCGAUCAUCCUUGCUGGUAGGUUCAAGGGCAAGAGAGUUAUUUUUUUUGAACCAACUACCCUCUGUUUUUCUUUUUUGUGACCGGUGAGUUUUUCUAAUUCUGCCACGUUCUAUUAUCCAUCUUAAGCAUCCACUACUUGUGUCACCUGAUAUGUUCCUAUUUUUGUAAUUGGCCCUUCAAUAUCAAUGAUUGCCACAAACUGAAAGUCUCUGAUGUUAGCCUCGAUAAAUUUGAUGAUCAGUAUUUUGGAAAGGUAGCCGAGAAGAAGACCAAGAAGGGAGAAGGAGAGUACGAUGGAGCCGUGGAUGUAUAUCUCUGAAUUAUACUUUCCUUUUGUUAUUCUCAGAUUGUAAGCAGUACAAACCUGAGCACAAAUCCUAAGCAAAUUGCUUAAAGAUCCAAACAGACUGCAUAAAAACCCAAAGGCAAAAGGCAAAUAAGUCUACUAUUUAUACUACUCAAGUUUAUUGUUUUCUGCUACACUUCAAUCUCAAGCUCUCCCUUGUACUUCUUCACUUGUUUCCUCUUCCUCUGCGUGUUGCCUUCCUCUCGUGUCCGUACGUAUACACUCCAAGGUCUAUCAGAGUUUUCGAGGCAGAGAGAAAGAAAGUGUCUACACAAGGGAAAAAACGACCAGAAGGCUGUGGAUGGAGCUUUGAUCAAAGCCAUUGAGGUAGUUUCAGAGUUGAAUAUUUGCCUUGGCACAAGGUUUUCAUUGCACAAGGAAUGAAGCCGCAUAAGCUUGUUUUUUAGAUUUUAAAAACCUUUUAUGAGCAUUUAGAGUAUAUGUGCCCUCAUGUGUUACUACUUUUUUGUUCUUGUCCACCUGCCAGAGAUAUUUUGACUUGUACAUUCUAUAUAUCACAUUUGGUAUAAACAAUCUAUCUUAUUUAAUUUGAACUUUGAAGCAAUAUUUUUCAAUA